CUGCGAUAAAGGCAAACUAAUUCGAAAGAUUAGGACGCAAAGCCACGGAUCUAACGUUUUUUUGAAACUAUGACCGCCGGGCUGCCGAA
Molecule: non-coding RNA, 89 nt
Filed under: [Bacillus] enclensis
Lineage: Bacteria; Bacillati; Bacillota; Bacilli; Caryophanales; Bacillaceae
Description: Bacillus enclensis c-di-GMP sequence
Rfam family: c-di-GMP-I riboswitch aptamer
About the family: GEMM was predicted in a large-scale screen for bacterial structured RNA regulatory elements.
Source: RNAcentral